UGGGCCUUCCCCCACGCUGUGAAAUCCCAACGAAAGAUAAGCUGCAGUAGGACUCCCACCUCAGGGUUAUUUGGCUGUGGAACCAGGUCCAGGCCCGAGGAGGCCCCGGGCCUGGUCCCCAGCUCACCCGGGUGCUGUGUGGACGGAAUAGGCGCACUGCUGCGAUGGGCUCUGAGCUGGAGUCUGCCAUGGAGACCCUCAUCAACGUGUUCCACGCCCACUCAGGCAAGGAGGGGGACAAGUACAAGCUGAGCAAGAAGGAACUGAAGGAGCUGCUGCAGACCGAGCUGUCUGGCUUCCUGGAUGUGAGCAUGGAGUGCCAGGAGAGGGCGGGUGGGCAAGAGGUGGGGCACUGGGGGCGCCUCCCUGCCAUUCCUCCCCGCCCCCGCAGCUCAGUCCAGCCACCCCCUCCUCUCUCAUGGGGGUCUUCCAGGCUCCCCUGUGUCAAAUCCAAAUGCCCUGGUUUACUGCCUACCUGUGAAGCACUAGGUCUUGUGCAGUUUCCUCAAUGAGGUUCACGGUCUAGAAGGGAAACCCCGAACUCCAGGAAGUACACAGAGCCUUAACAAAGGUGCCAGAAAGGGUUAGUGGGAGAUUAGUGGCCAGACUGAAGUAAGACGGUUCCUUGAAGAGUGGCAGUUGAGCCAGGGGCUUCCACUGGAAGAUGACUGGGGUCAAUGAAGACAUUUUAGGGGGUGUCUGCAUGAACACAAGCAUAGAAGACAAUGUGGAGCACGCCCAGCAGUUCCAUUUGACUGGAGAGUGUGGAGAAGCAGGCUGCAAACGUUAACAGGGGGCACACAGUGAAGAAGCCACUCAGAUAUGGCAGACCGGGCAGCUCUGCAUUCAAAUUUUGGUCCUACUACUUCCUUUUUCUUCCCCCGCGUCAGUAUUGGGCAUUGAACCCAACGGUGCUUUAUCACUGAGUUAACGCUCCCAGCCCUUUUUAUUUUUUAGGACAGGGUCUCACUAAGCUGCUGAGGCUGGCCUCAAACUUGGGAUCCUCGUGCCUCAGCCUCCUGAGUCACUGGGAUUAUGGGCAUGUGUCACUAAGACCAGCCCUGCCACCUUUUUUCUUUUUCUUUUUGGUACUGAGGAUUGAACUCAGGAGCAUUCAAUCACUGAGCCACAUCCCCAGCCCGUUUUACUUUUUUUUUUUUUAAAGAGAGAAUUUUAAUAUUUAUUUUUCAGUUAUCGGCGGACACAACAUCUUUGUAUGUGGUGCUGAGGAUGGAACCCGGGCCGCACGCAUGCCAGGCGAGCGCGCUACCGCUUGAGCCACAUCCCCAGCCCCCCUUUUUACUUUUUGAGACAGGGUCUCACUAAGUUGUAUAGGGGCCUUGUUAAAUUGCUGAGGCUGGCCUCAAACUUGGGAUCCUCAGUCUCCUGAGCUGCUGGGAUGACAGGUGUGCAUCACCACACCUAAUGUCAGCCCUGCCGCUUUUUGUGUGACUUUGGGCACAUUUACUUAACAAAAAUCAUCCAUGUUUCUUCUUCAGAAUGGAAUUAAUAAAAAGAGCCCCAUACUGCUUGUAUUAGAAUUAAACUAGACAGUGCCUGGAAGGCUCCUAGUGUAGUGCUUGUCACACUGUAGACAAUUAGCUUAUGGUGAUUGACGUUAUCAUUAACUCUUCCAGUUAAGGCGUUUCUUCUGAAGGCAACAGGAGCCCAUGAGCCUUCUUGGGUGGAAAGCAGAAGGUCCCAUGAUUAGAGGCUGUCUGACCUCUUGCUCACGUCUGCCUUGCUCUCCUCGACCACCUCCUGCCCCGACUCAGUGAUGCACACCUCCUCUCCCUCUUCUUCCUCCACAGGCCCAGAAGGAUGCAGAUGCUGUGGACAAGGUGAUGAAGGAGCUCGAUGAGAAUGGAGACGGGGAGGUGGACUUCCAGGAGUAUGUGGUGCUGGUGGCUGCUCUCACAGUGGCCUGUAACAACUUCUUCUGGGAGAACAGUUGAGCAGACAGCCCAGUGGGCAGCGCCCUUCCCCUCCCCCUGCCGGGCCCGCCCCUUCACCUGCUUUCACCUCACCCCACUUAUCCCUGUCCACAUUCUCACCAUUGCCCACCUCCUUCAAUACACACCAAGGGCGCAAGAGUAGCAGUCCAGGCCUGCAA
RNAcentral lists this long non-coding RNA (2113 nucleotides) under Marmota monax (woodchuck). Lineage: Eukaryota; Metazoa; Chordata; Mammalia; Rodentia; Sciuridae. The record is from RNAcentral.